CCUCCCUUGACUCCACCCCCACUCUGGAAUGUUCUGGAAUGUUCCUCCCACUGUUGUUGUUGCUUGAUAUAGAAUAAUUCAAUAUUCUUCUAAGGCUUGGGUUACAUCCCAACAAAGGGUGCCAAUGGGGAGGGGGCCAUGUUAAUCCCUAAAAACUAAAGGAUUUCAGUCGGAAGUGACUUCACAAAUUGGCUAGUUCAUUUUAUGUCAAAACAGAAACCUCCUCUUCAACAUAUCUGACAAAUAUUUAACCAGCCUUUCCUGGGAGACUGCUAGUGAUAAGGAACUCACUACCUCAUAAGGCAGGCCAUUCUAUUUUUGGAUUGCUUGGAUUGUUUUGUUUUGUUCUUGUAUCAUACUAAAAUAUUCCUCCACACAUUCUGACCUCUUGGUCCUAAUUCUACCAUCUGGAUUUAAGCAGAAUAAGUCUACCCUUCAGAUACUUGAAGACAUGGGGACUGGAGUCAAUUCUUCAUUCUUUGGAGUGGAGGCUGGACCCGAGACCCUGUUCCUGGUGAGGCUGCUCUAAAAUGUCUUCCUUUGAACUGACAUGUGAAAACUGAAACACCAGCUGGGCCAUUUCAGCCGGGAAAAUUUGACCUUUCUUCUCUAUGUUUCUUAUACCUGCUUUCGUAUGGACAACAUCAA
RNAcentral lists this long non-coding RNA (648 nucleotides) under Monodelphis domestica (gray short-tailed opossum). Its description in RNAcentral is "lncRNA (ENSMODG00000050231.1)". Lineage: Eukaryota; Metazoa; Chordata; Mammalia; Didelphimorphia; Didelphidae. The record is from RNAcentral.